RNAcentral lists this ribosomal RNA (254 nucleotides) under uncultured bacterium. RNAcentral describes it as "partial 16S ribosomal RNA". It matches the Rfam family "Bacterial small subunit ribosomal RNA", at positions 524 to 776 of the family's 1533-position model. The record is from RNAcentral.
GACGUAGGGCGCGAGCGUUGUCCGGAUUUAUUGGGCGUAAAGAGCUCGUAGGCGGUUUGGUAAGUCGGAUGUGAAAUCUCCAGGCUCAACUUGGAGGGGUCAUUCGAUACUGCCAUGACUAGAGUCCGGAAGAGGCGAGUGGAAUUCCCGGUGUAGCGGUGAAAUGCGCAGAUAUCGGGAGGAACACCAAUGGCGAAGGCAGCUCGCUGGGACGGUACUGACGCUGAGACGCGAAAGCGUGGGGAGCAAACAGG